RNAcentral lists this unclassified non-coding RNA (219 nucleotides) under uncultured Solirubrobacteraceae bacterium. RNAcentral's name for it is "contains 16S-23S intergenic spacer region". It matches the Rfam family "Bacterial small subunit ribosomal RNA", at positions 976 to 1197 of the family's 1533-position model. Lineage: Bacteria; Bacillati; Actinomycetota; Thermoleophilia; Solirubrobacterales; Solirubrobacteraceae. The record is from RNAcentral.
UGGGCUUGACAUGUGGAUGACCGGCCUGGAAACAGGCUUUCCCUUCGGGGCAUCUUCACAGGUGGUGCAUGGCUGUCGUCAGCUCGUGUCGUGAGAUGUUGGGUUAAGUCCCGCAACGAGCGCAACCCCCGUCGCAUGUUGCCAGCAUUCAGUUGGGGACUCAUGCGAGACUGCCGGUGACAAACCGGAGGAAGGUGGGGAUGACGUGUCGUUACCUUA